This 277-nucleotide ribosomal RNA is filed under the name uncultured Bacillota bacterium. RNAcentral describes it as "uncultured Firmicutes bacterium partial 16S ribosomal RNA". It matches the Rfam family "Bacterial small subunit ribosomal RNA", at positions 61 to 339 of the family's 1533-position model. Lineage: Bacteria; Bacillati; Bacillota. The record is from RNAcentral.
AAUGCGACUUCGGUCAAAUGACUUUUGAACUUAGUGGCGGACGGGUGAGUAACGCGUGAGCAACCUGCCUUUCAGAGGGGGAUAACAUUUGGAAACAGAUGCUAAUACCGCAUAAGACCACAAAGUCACAUGGCAAAGGGGUCAAAGAUUUAUCGCUUAUGGAUGGGCUCGCGUCUGAUUAGCUAGUUGGUAGGGUAAAGGCCUACCAAGGCGACGAUCAGUAGCCGGUCUGAGAGGAUGGACGGCCACAUUGGGACUGAGACACGGCCCAAACUCC